Long non-coding RNA from Stegostoma tigrinum, 605 nucleotides. RefSeq lists it as uncharacterized. Lineage: Eukaryota; Metazoa; Chordata; Chondrichthyes; Orectolobiformes; Stegostomatidae. The record is from RefSeq and is a predicted model, not a curated record. The transcript has 3 exons.
CGCCCACUGUCGCUGACAGUUCUCUCUCGGGGACGGGGAUUUCUCACAGACUACGCCGGUGUAGGAGUUCGCUGAGUGAACUGUCCCAUAUUCAUCAAUCAACCAACAACUCAAAAAGGAAUAGUUUCUACUGGAAGCCGUGCAGCAACUUGACAAGAGACCAAGCAGCAUCUGAGGAGCUGCUGUGUUCAUCCAGAUCCAGACCUUGUUAUCUCGGAUUCUCCAGCAUCUGCAGUUCCUACUAUCUCAGUAACUUGACAAGUCUCCUUCAACAGCACUGUCCCAACCCGUAAUCUCUGCCAUCUGGAAGGACAGAGGAUACAGAUACAUGGAAACACCACAACCUAAAGGAUGAAGCUUAAGGAUCACGAUGGAAGUAAAUUCAGUAGCUGUCUGCACAGAAUCGUGGAAAGUCACUUCCGACUAUGUCAAGAACCCUUCAGUGGAAGACAUCCAUUACAAAUUGAACUGUAAUCCCUUGCGAGUAUCUCAGACUGAAUGUGACAGGAGAAAAAGCAGCAGACGGACUAGGUGACAUGUCAUGUUUUCCCUUUUCAAGUAUACACAAGGAGAAUAAUUAAAAAUAGCCAGUUACAAUCCUGGUC